RNAcentral lists this ribosomal RNA (541 nucleotides) under Metarhizium anisopliae. RNAcentral describes it as "eukaryotic LSU rRNA". The stretch from base 170 to 323 matches the Rfam family "5.8S ribosomal RNA". The record is from RNAcentral. Lineage: Eukaryota; Fungi; Ascomycota; Sordariomycetes; Hypocreales; Clavicipitaceae.
UCUCCGUUGGUGAACCAGCGGAGGGAUCAUUACCGAGUUAUCCAACUCCCAACCCCUGUGAAUUAUACCUUUAAUUGUUGCUUCGGCGGGACUUCGCGCCCGCCGGGGACCCAAACCUUCUGAAUUUUUUAAUAAGUAUCUUCUGAGUGGUUAAAAAAAAAUGAAUCAAAACUUUCAACAACGGAUCUCUUGGUUCUGGCAUCGAUGAAGAACGCAGCGAAAUGCGAUAAGUAAUGUGAAUUGCAGAAUUCAGUGAAUCAUCGAAUCUUUGAACGCACAUUGCGCCCGUCAGUAUUCUGGCGGGCAUGCCUGUUCGAGCGUCAUUACGCCCCUCAAGUCCCCUGUGGACUUGGUGUUGGGGAUCGGCGAGGCUGGUUUUCCAGCACAGCCGUCCCUUAAAUUAAUUGGCGGUCUCGCCGUGGCCCUCCUCUGCGCAGUAGUAAAACACUCGCAACAGGAGCCCGGCGCGGUCCACUGCCGUAAAACCCCCCAACUUUUUAUAGUUGACCUCGAAUCAGGUAGGACUACCCGCUGAACUUAA